GGGCCACUUUGUGUUCCAAUAUAAGAAGAGGCGUUAGGGUUUCAGACUACUUCAAAGUUCCAAACACUCAAACCAGUUACGGCGGCGGCGAAGUUGCCAUCAACAUGUUCUUCACCACCACCAUCACUGAUAUCUGCAUCAUCACCACUUGAUGAAUGGGUUAUAGAUGGAAUAUGGGUUUUGUGUGUCACAAACCAUGGAAGGAGGAAGAGAUAAAAAUGGUUGAGUGUGAGCGAAAUCGGAAAUGAAGUUUUUUCAUAUCUUGCGAGCACGAAGCUGUUCAUUAUUUCCAAUCAAGGACUUAUCGCUUGUGCUAUUGGGGAACGAGGUCCUAUAGAUGCUCAAGCUAAUCGAAGAUUCGAAAUCAGCAGAAAGCUCUUACUAAAUCUGACAAACGGAUGCAGUACCCUAAAUCGUGUCAAUGAUCAAAACUGAUAUACUUCAUGCAACUGAAACACAAUAGAUGGGUUAUAGAUUGGGAGGAGGAGAAAAUUGUUGAUUUGGAGUAUGCAUGGGGACGGAAGAAAACAACUCCAUCAACCAAGAAGUUAACCAAAUAUCAAACUAUAAGGAGAUAGAUGCAGUUGAUGUUGCUCAAAGCACCAAGCGGGAUAGCUAAUGAACUGAAUCGUGUGGUGGUGAUCUUGCAGCGGAUGGAUUAUGAAAGGGAGCAGGAUACUAAUGCUAGUGCUAACAAAAGACGAGAAGCUUGGAAAGCUGGAAUUGGGCUAGUACCUGUGCAAGUUGAAGAAGAAAUUGGAAUCUAGAGUGCAGAGAACAGCAUUCCUGUCAUCAAAAGCAUUUUGGGGAUAAAGAAAAUUAGAGAUCAGUUCUCUGUCAGGAAAUGAAGGUUUCAAAGCAUCAGUGCCUAUCAAAUAGGACUCCAGCAGUUCGAGCACAAUAAUAAAUAGAUGUCAGAGCCAGUUGAUAUAUAUAUAUCCUCCGGUAAGUCUCGGUACCCGACCCAUCACCAUGAAGACAGGAACCAGAUCUAGAAUACGGUUUAAACUAUUAUAACAUAACAGUCGCUUGUGCCUCCUCCGGGUACAGUUCUGAUGUCUAAUUUCACCCUGUAAUAACACUACCAUGAUGAAUUUUCCUCUCAAAAAUUAUGUCUAAUUUUUUCUUUUUCUGUAAAGUUUGUAACAUGCCCUCUUUUGGGUUAGAAGCAAAGUAGCAAAAAUAAUUGCAUUACUUGAAUUGAAUCACCA
Long non-coding RNA from Papaver somniferum (opium poppy), 1211 nucleotides. RefSeq lists it as uncharacterized. The transcript has 3 exons. The record is from RefSeq and is a predicted model, not a curated record. NCBI's taxonomy places the organism in Eukaryota, Viridiplantae, Streptophyta, Magnoliopsida, Ranunculales, Papaveraceae.